Molecule: ribosomal RNA, 447 nt
Filed under: uncultured bacterium
Lineage: Bacteria
Description: bacterial SSU rRNA
Rfam family: Bacterial small subunit ribosomal RNA
Source: RNAcentral
UCCAGACUCCUACGGGAGGCAGCAGUGGGGAAUAUUGCACAAUGGGGGAAACCCUGAUGCAGCGACGCCGCGUGAGUGAAGAAGUAUUUCGGUAUGUAAAGCUCUAUCAGCAGGGAAGAAAAUGACGGUACCUGACUAAGAAGCCCCGGCUAACUACGUGCCAGCAGCCGCGGUAAUACGUAGGGGGCAAGCGUUAUCCGGAUUUACUGGGUGUAAAGGGAGCGUAGACGGCAUGGCAAGUCAGAUGUGAAAGCCCGGGGCUCAACCCCGGGACUGCAUUUGAAACUGUCAGGCUGGAGUGCAGGAGAGGUAAGUGGAAUUCCUAGUGUAGCGGUGAAAUGCGUAGAUAUUAGGAGGAACACCAGUGGCGAAGGCGGCUUACUGGACUGUAACUGACGCUGAGGCACGAAAGUGUGGGGAGCAAACAGGAUUAGAUACCCCGGUAAU